Molecule: RNA transcript, 5570 nt
Organism: Zalophus californianus (California sea lion)
Lineage: Eukaryota; Metazoa; Chordata; Mammalia; Carnivora; Otariidae
Gene: VCPKMT
Gene name: valosin containing protein lysine methyltransferase
Exons: 6
Source: RefSeq, a predicted model, not a curated record
UGGAAAUACAUACACCCACAUUAUUUUCAAUAUUUUGUGCAACUUACAUAAUCCCAAGGAAUUUAAGUGAUGUAAAUUUUAGAAGGAUAACUUUGUCUUAACUGUUAAAACGCAAUCAGCAAACUUCCAGCGACCAUUUUUAUGCAUUCAGAUGAAAAAUUAGGAGCAUGCUAGGAAACUCUUGAUAAGGAGGAUUAUACAUACCCUUCUUGGUAAGAUCUUGGAAACUGCCUGGAUUUAAGGCCAGUAACUACCGAGUGAAUUAUUCUCCAGGUAAAAACACCCCAGGUAAAGAGCAGGUGACAAUAUUAGCUUUGUCUCGAAGAGUGAUUUAAGCUGCCUUCUUGUUAAGCCAGGCUUGUAAUUUAGAGGAGCCCGGUGCUCGACUACGCGCGGGUAAUCCUGCCUUCCCAGCUUUGUGCCUCUGCGCACGCGCUUUGGCGCCAACUUCGCCACUAGGGGGCGCCGGGCCCUCUUCAGGCCGGCCUUGGGGCGGUGCGUGUGGGUGUGACGUCACUGCGCGCGCCGCAACUUGUUGCCGGGCAGCGAUGGCGGCUACCCUGGAGUCCUCGGUGGAGGACCCACUGCGGAACUUCGUUCGAGUUUUGGAAAAGCGAGAUGGCACGGUGUUACGACUGCAGCAGAAUGGUUCCGGCGGCGUGGGCUGCGUUGUUUGGGACGCUGCCAUUGUCCUUUCUAAGUACUUGGAAACGCCCGGGUUUUCCGGCGAUGGGGCCCACGCUCUGAGCCGGCGAUCUGUGCUGGAGCUGGGCUCUGGCACUGGGGCCGUGGGGCUCAUGGCUGCUACCCUUGGGGCUGAUGUUGUGGUCACAGAUCUUGAGGAAUUGCAAGACUUGCUGAAGAUUAAUAUUAAUAUGAACAAGCAUCUUGUCACUGGUUCUGUUCAAGCCAAGGUACUGAAAUGGGGGGAAGAAAUAGAAGACUUUACUUCUCCGCCAGACUACAUACUGAUGGCUGACUGCAUAUACUAUGAAGAGUCUUUGGAGCCAUUGUUGAAAACUCUAAAAGAUCUUAGUGGAUUUGAGACUUGUAUUAUAUGUUGUUACGAACAACGAACAAUGGGAAAAAAUCCAGAAAUUGAGAAAAAAUAUUUUGAGUAUAUCUCUUUUAAAUUUAUAGCUCCUCCAGCUAGACUUUGACUUUGAAAAAAUUCCUUUGGAGAAACAUGAUGAAGAAUAUCGAAGUGAGGAUAUUCAUAUCUUAUACAUCAGAAAGAAAAAAUCGAAAUCUCCAUCGUGAAAUCUUUAGUCAUCUUACCCAAACCUCUAACAACCUGGGUAAGCUAAAGAUGUGAAUGGUGAAUGGAGCAUGUGAAUACAGCAUGGGAAGAUUGUGUUCAUAGAUUUUUCCAGCAUGUCCAUAGAGAUUCGAUAUAUAACUGACAACCACCAUGGGCUGCCUGCAAUUUGAAAAAUGAUUACUUACUGCCUGCCUGCCAAUGAGCCUGAAAUCCAACUUAGUUUACUUGUAGCUCAGCAUCAAGUUCUGCUUAAAAGAAAAUUGUGUAUCAGUCACUCCUCAAAUGAAAAUAGGUGUUGAGGUUUGCCUAAAGUCUGCAGGAAAUAGUGAAGUGGCAUGGUUGACUUGGCAUUUUUGUCAGGAAACUAGAAAUAAAUUGAUCCAGUUUCUAAAGAGAGACAUCUAUUACAUCUAUUUAAGUUGCAACUAGUAAAAUUUAGUUGUCUUCAAGAUCAAUAAAUCUAAAAGUUGGUUUUUAUUUUAAUAUAAUUUAAUAUAAUUAUGCAGUGGUUUUUAUCAUAUGUAUCUUCCACUUCAUUGCUAUUAUUAUGAUAGCUUUAAUAUUUAAAUGUUCUUUUACUUAAAAAAAAAUCUGAAAAUACUGUUUUGUAUACUUCCAUUAGCCAAAGUUUUAUUCUUUUCCUCCACCGUACAUGUCUAUGUGAGUUAGAUAGUAAAUUAUACUUCAGUGAGUUGGUAGGAAUAAAAGUAAGAAAUCAGGAGGGGGAAAAGGUAUCUUUACAAACUUUUUCAUUUGAGAAUGGAGCAAGAAUUAAAAGUCCAGUUUCAGGCUUGUGCACUUACUUGGCUCUUGCACUUUUCUUCGCAUAUAUCUUCCAGGAAUAUGGCUAAAAUCACCAUUGUUGUUUACAUGAAACAGAGAAAUGUUUUUAAAUAACUACAAAUGUGGUUCUAUAUACAUUUACCAAGUGAUUUUGGUUCUGUGUAUUCUCUGUUUUAUGUUAUUAUGAUAAUCAUCUGCCCACAGACUGAUCUAUCAAGGACUUCAGUUACACCAGUUGUGAAGAGUAAUAUUAACUGGAUAGAAUUCUGGUACUUGUAGGCAUUGGUGCUAGGUGGCACAUUUAAUGUAUUAAAAUAAACAUUGUUUUAGAGAUCCUGUGAUUUUGUGAAUGUUUCAGAAAUAGCUUUGAAGAAAAUGAACAUCUAAAUCGGGCUUUCCAGAAAAAGCAAAAGCAGCCCUAUUUAGAGAAAUUAAAGAUCCAAAUCAAAAGAACCAUUCUUUCCUUCAGGCUUCCUUUGGUCUUUAAAGUUUGUCUUGCUGUUCUUUCUCAGAAUACGUUGUUCACACUGCCAUUAGCAUUUCAUUAAGCAGUUUACUAAACAGUGUAAACUGUAUGAUUCUUAGUUACAGAUAGCACCAGUUAUUAUUAGUGAAGUCUUGGCACAGAUGACUACUUUCUAGCCUAUUCCAUAACAUUAUGCAACUUAAAAAAAUAAUAAAAGUCUGGCCAGCUAUAGUAAUCCACUCAUUCUCAGAUCCCUGUUCACCCCUCUCUUUUCACUCUACUUCUAAUAGUCAGUACCUCUGGGUCUUCAGCCUAAAGUGUCUCUUGGCAUUCCUGUAGAAAAGCCCAGCUCCUUUCCCUUACAUAAAGUGCACCUUAUACUCCAAAAUUUUCUGGAGGAGUUGGGUUGAGGUCAACCUCUACAGCUUUACCAGAAUCACCCCUGUGUGUGCUUCCUUCCCUUCCUUGUUCUAUUCCCAGUCCCUUACUUAAUUUAUCACCUCCUUAAUACGUCACUUGCAUACAUUCAUCUCCAUCUGUUCUGGAGAACUGACCUAAGUUACUGACUGUAGAUUUAAGUAAUUUGUAACAUUAAAUCAUGGGUUGUUUUUGUUUUUUUUUUUCCUGUUCUGGAAUAAGGCCAAAGCAGAGAUUAAAAGGUACCAAGUCUCCACAUUGUAAGAUCAGAGAACCACUGGUAGGACCAUUGAGCACUGCGGGGCUUACUGAGGGCUGACAGUUCAAGUAACAUGCCCUAUCACGAACCACCAUUCCGCAGACAGCCAGGGAGGCCUGGGAGGGGUCUCUUUUGAGGAGUGCAGUGUUGGGGAAUGGGAUUUAGUCUUUUGGGCUCUCUCAUGAGGGAGAGAACAGGGUGCAUCUGUGCUCAGACACCACAGGAGGGAGGCGUGAGGGAACAGUUCAAGAUUAAGGAUGCUUCUAGGAAGGGGUGCCCAGCGUUUUCUCCACCUGGUUGGAUUUACCCAGCAGAUCAGCAUGUCUGUGUUUUUAUUUCAGAGCAUGGGAAUGAAAUUGGAGAGGUGGGGAUACCUCAGGCAGAGGUGUUAAAGAUGGGUCCUGCCAGCCAGUGUUGGCACAGGAGUUGGAGGCCAGAGGACUUGUGCAGCAACAUGGAGAAGUUCAAAGGGAGGUGCAGUAGAUGAGUGAGGUGUGCUGCCAAGGACAGGAUCAACCAGAAUACAGCCACCUGCAAUCUCCAGGGACUGCCAGGGCUGGGGGCGGGUGGGGAGACAGCUCAGGAAUGCACCUCUGGGCCUCUAGGUGAGUGGGGCCUUGCCACUGUGCACCAUGAAACCCAUGGGCAGUUAUAGCCAAUUAGGGAGCCCCUGUUGUAAGGCAUUGUUUCUCAAACUAGGCUGCACAUGGAAUCACCUGGAAAAUUAAAAGCAAACAAAAGCUAUGUUUAGGUCCCAGUUCAAUUAAGAGGCAUGGGAGUUUUGUUAAAGGCUCCAGGUGGUUUGAGUGUUUAGCCUAAACUGAGAACUGCUGUGUUAAGGAAACCUAGCAUCUAUUUCCCAAGGGAAAGGGAGCAAAGGGAGGAGAAAUAAUAAGCCAUCUAUGAUUAGAGUGGGCCUAUACUGCAUAGGGAGGGAAAGAGCUUUGAAUCCGAUGUGGAAUCCUCUACGAAAUACAUUUUAAAACAAACAGGACUGAGCUUUAGAAAUUGAUUAUUUACCUGAAAAUUUAGAGAACCUGGUCAAGAAGACAAAAGUGAUGCUACUCAAGAGGAAAGGGGAGUCCAAUAGCUGGAACAAUGAAAUUGUUACAGGCUAGUCUCCAAUGACUUGAGUCUCUCCUGUAUACCAGUUAUAACUAAAGGUCUUUGAGAUUGCAGAACUUGGAAUCUCAAUCAGUAGAGUUCAUAACCAAGGGUUUGUGAAUCACGUUUCGUGGACUUGGGAGUGAGUUAGGUUAUUUUUAGGUAUUUUAAGCAGUAUUAAUCCAGAAUGAUAGUGGGGUUUUUUACACAGCUACCUUUUUCUUGAAAGUUUCCUUGUUAAUAUGAUGCCAAAUGCAAUAUUAACUCAGACUAUAACUACUGUAUUAAGUUUUUUAAAAGUGUGGGUUAUAGAAAUAGGACUGUUGUUCUAAAGUUUCCCUGUAGAUGGCAUUGCUUGACUUUGUCUUUAAACAUUUUAUAAAAAGGAAGUUGUUAAAAUAAGAUUAUUUUGAAAUGGAAUCACACUUGCAUUUUAAAGGUAAACUAAACCAGAUUUUAAAGAAUCAAACUACUUCUUGGGAGUUGCUUUUGAGUAUAGCAGGGUUGUCUUAGCGUGUUUGGGCUGCUAGAACAAAAUACAGACUGGGUGGCUUAUAAACAACAGAAACUUAUUUCUCACGGUUCUGGAGGCCGGAAAGUGCAAGCGAGAUCAAGGCCCCAACUUCCUCAGAGGCCCCUGCCUUUUCAUUGUAACCUCAAGUGGCAGAAGAGUGAAGGAUCUCCCUGGGGUCUCUUUUAUAGGGCGCUUAUCUCAUUUAUGAGAGCUUCACCCUCAUGACGUACUCAUCUCUCAGAUGCCCACCUCCGAACACUACCACAUGGGGGGAAUAGGUUUCAGCAUAAGAUUUUGGGGCUGGGUUGUGGGUGGAACACACAAACAUUCAGACCAUAAUAAUAGUGGAGGUAAAGCUGAAUUUUUUUCUUAUAAAAUUGUAUUUGACUUGUCUUUCUGUACAUUGCAUUCUGAUAUGCUUUUUGAAUUUCUGAAUAUUGUUGAUAAAGCUACAGAAAUUAUAAUUUAUAGACCAUUUCUCUAUUGUCUAAUUCAUAGACCAUCUUCUGUGAGAGAUAUUUAAGAGGCUGAAUUAGUUGGUCAGGUUCUGAAAAUGAAAUUGACCUUGAAAGUAACUUUUAUAUAAUGCAUGAUUUUAUGUUUGAGGUACUUGGAACUUCUAAUUAAUUUUAAUUAGUUUUUCAAACCAGUGUACCUUCCUCACUAGAGUAAUAAGUAGCUUUUACAUCAAAAGACUGAAGCUCUGUCUUUGGCUAUAUAUACCACAGUCCUGUAGGCUUAGGCCAUCUGUUUGACUUUUUGUCUU